AUGGAACCCUAUGUUGGCAUGAGGUUUGAUAACCUUCAAAUUGCUAAGGAUCACUACAACAGCUACGCACUACUGAUGGGUUUCUCUAUCAAGAUGAACACAUCUAGACGGACACCCCGCACCAAUGAAUUGAUAAAACAACAGUUUUGUUGUAACAAGUUCAAGAAGCCCAAAGCUGAUGAUGGAGGAGCUAAGACUCCUCCUCAGACUCAGUGCAAAGCGAAAAUGUUGGUGAAGCUGAUAGAUGGGCGAUGGGAGGUGACGCACUUUGUUCGUGACCACAAUCAUCCGCUCGUGAACAAACCUUCAUUGUCCAAAUACUUGAGAUCCCACCAAGCAUCUCACCUGAUGAAAAGGAGUUUCUGCGCAUCUUGUAUAACUGCAACUUGA
RNAcentral lists this ribosomal RNA (390 nucleotides) under Triticum aestivum (bread wheat). Its description in RNAcentral is "partial small subunit ribosomal RNA". The record is from RNAcentral. Lineage: Eukaryota; Viridiplantae; Streptophyta; Magnoliopsida; Poales; Poaceae.